UCUAAACAUUUUUAGUGUUGUCAACAAAAAAUAUAUUAGAUAACGAUAAUAAAGUUCAUGACGCUGACGUUUGACGUGUGACCUGUCACGAACUAAAUUAAAUUUUUUAUUGAGAUUUUCUUUAAAUUAUCAUUGGAAUUGUAAAAUCACGACUCGACAUGACUGAUUUUAAAUAAUAUUGUCAAUUGUGAGGAUUACUUUUUUUCAUAAAUUUUAACGAAAUUCUAAAAGAAGUACAAGAAAAAUCACAGAUCUAAUGGAACUGUCUUAAAUUCUUAACUGAAGGUAACUUUGCUUGCUUGCUUGCCAGUUUUAAUGGCUUGUGCUAAUACUGAAAUGCACGGUAACGCCUCCCCUACGAUGCAUCCGGCGUCAUCCGGCCUGGCUACCGGCGUGAAUAGGUUCAGCUACCACUGGCAAAGGGCAAGGGCAGGAAAGGGUCUAGGAAGGGUUUCAAAGGAUAGGAAAGGAAAGACUGUAAGGUAACUUUCUAUUUUGUAUUUUUAAAAACAUAACCUCUCAAAAACUUUAAUUGUUUUGUUUUGUGGCGAAUAUACAUACUGUGAACAUGCGCCCCAGAUGCAUGAAGCUUGGCAACGCCGGUGGGGAUCGAUCAGCUGUGAACUGUCAAGAAUCGCCUCGGGACUCUACAAAAAGAUCAUCGAGACUCUCGACACAAACACAGGAUAAUCGAAACCCCAUGUAAUUAAAUUAAGUUCGUAAAAAUGUGUUUAUUUUGUAGUUUAGUUUUUGAUUAAACAAAAUUAAAGUAAACCGCGAGUGUGCCUUACUUGCUCUCCGCAACGGCCACAGUUUCCCUAUAAUUGGCACAAUUGAAAUUUGUCAGAGUGACCAACAUCAAAAGAAAAUAAUCACGCAAAAUGGCAGCCCUCUAGUAGUGGUCACUUAUUUUUCAUUAGCAGUCCAGGUAUAUUUCUAUUCAGUUUAUCGUGCUGCUAGCAUACCAGCGACCGGAUCUGUGCGCACGUACGUUACUCCAUAAGCAACUACGAAUAUAAAGCUUGCAGCUACGCGACCAGUUAGGUCAGAUGUAUGAAGCUUGUAUGGAGAAAAUCGGAAUUGUAUGUCGGCCAUCUUGCUUGGCAAAAUUGGCAGGAGCUAAUAGAAAUGACGUUGACAUUGACUAAUAGAACAUCAUUUGUCCUAUUAUUCUAAGUUUGUUUUUGAUUUCAAUGUAUGCUGUUUCAUGUAUGCUUUAUACUAUUUUAAAUCAAUCACUUUUUUCCCUAAAAAGUUAUUAUCAAUUAAUAUUUUAAUUGAUUUGCAGCAAUUCCAGGUGUCCGGUCACAAUGUUGAAGACAAGAAUCUACACUGUAGAAAUUUGAAUUUGUUGGCCUUUUAUUUGCAUGCAUAGUUUUGCAAUUAACAUUUUUUAAUUAAACAUUUUUUAUUAAUCCUAAUAUAUAUAUUAUCUGUUAUAAUGAAUUAUUAUAUAUUAUGUAUAUAAUUUUAA
Long non-coding RNA from Anthonomus grandis grandis, 1474 nucleotides. RefSeq lists it as uncharacterized. Lineage: Eukaryota; Metazoa; Arthropoda; Insecta; Coleoptera; Curculionidae. The record is from RefSeq and is a predicted model, not a curated record. The transcript has 3 exons.